UUGGAGAUUUCCAAACCAUUUACCUAGCAAAAGCAAACCAACUUUUUGUUUGGCAAAAUUCAAAGUAAAGUCGAUAAAACAAACUAAAAUUUAUUUGUAAACCAUUUUCUUCCGUGAUACUAUUUAACUUUAUUUUAUAAUUCUUACAGAUGGCCCGGUCGUGAAUUUAGAUGCACUCAUUUGGAAAUGAUUAAGUUUAUUUUCACAGGUAUUUAGCACGAUUAGGGUCUUCUUUAGUCGAGUGGUUAGAGUUAGCGGCUA
This is a long non-coding RNA of Aedes aegypti (yellow fever mosquito), 261 nucleotides long. RefSeq lists it as uncharacterized. Lineage: Eukaryota; Metazoa; Arthropoda; Insecta; Diptera; Culicidae. The record is from RefSeq and is a predicted model, not a curated record. The transcript has 2 exons.